CCUACGGGCGGCUGCAGUGGGGAAUAUUGGACAAUGGGGGCAACCCUGAUCCAGCCAUGCCGCGUGUGUGAAGAAGGCCCUCGGGUUGUAAAGCACUUUCAGUGAGGAAGAACGCCUGGUGGUUAAUACCCAUCAGGAAAGACAUCACUCACAGAAGAAGCACCGGCUAACUCUGUGCCAGCAGCCGCGGUAAUACGGAGGGUGCGAGCGUUAAUCGGAAUUACUGGGCGUAAAGCGCGCGUAGGUGGCUUGAUAAGCCGGUUGUGAAAGCCCCGGGCUCAACCUGGGAACGGCAUCCGGAACUGUCAAGCUAGAGUGCAGGAGAGGAAGGUAGAAUUCCCGGUGUAGCGGUGAAAUGCGUAGAGAUCGGGAGGAAUACCAGUGGCGAAGGCGGCCUUCUGGACUGACACUGACACUGAGGUGCGAAAGCGUGGGUAGCAAACAGGAUUAGAUACCCUAGUAGUC
RNAcentral lists this ribosomal RNA (465 nucleotides) under Vreelandella stevensii. RNAcentral describes it as "partial 16S ribosomal RNA". It matches the Rfam family "Bacterial small subunit ribosomal RNA", at positions 338 to 795 of the family's 1533-position model. The record is from RNAcentral. Lineage: Bacteria; Pseudomonadati; Pseudomonadota; Gammaproteobacteria; Oceanospirillales; Halomonadaceae.